UAUUUUUAAUUUUCCCGAUCACUUCGUUUAGUUCUUUUUUAAGAGCAAGAGAUGUGAAAAAGAGCUAUUUUUGAAGUUUUAACUUUAAAAAAUAUAUUUAUGGUAGUUUGCAACCGAUUUUCAAUUUCAACAAAAAAAAAUAAAUCCAAAAUUUAUGAUUAAUGUCUUGAUUACGGCCAUUUAAGUAAAAAAAACUCACACUUUUUUCCACAAAAAGGCACUUUAAGUUGGGUUUCCAAUGAUGGUCAAUUUAUGAUAAUCGAUGAAAAAGUUUAUGGGUUGUGCUAAGUUUUAUAAAAAUAUAGCAUAUUUCUUCCAUACAAAAACGUUCAUGUUUCUGGUUUUCUUUGUAACAAGUUUAAAAAAUGUUUAUAAACAUUUUUAUAUAAAAAUUAAUUUGUAUGUAGAAAACCAAAAAUUCGAGGAACAUGCUAUUAGAAAAAUUGCAUAAAUCAUCCAGUUUUUCAUAGAUUUUUAUGAAAUAACAAGUUUUGGAAACCUUCCUUUAUGUGAUUCUUCAGGAAACUGCCUCAUGGUCAAAGUAGAGCAUGAUGAAAAUUAAAUUUUUUUAAAAAAGUGUGAGUUUUUUUACUUAAAAGACCGUAACUCAGACAUUUGACCAUAAAUUUUGAAUUUAUUUUUUUGGAUUAAAAGGCAACACUUGUGUCAUUAAAAAAAUAUCGGAUUUGAAAAUCGGAUGAAAACUACUAAACUACUUUUUCGCAUCUUUUGCUCUUAAAAAGUAAGUAAACGAAGUGAUAGGGGAAAACUAAAAAUAUAUUCGUACUCUAUGGACUAUAACGAAAUAGAAUUGGUAUAUGAGAAUGCCUGCAUUUUAUUUUUCUUCACUUUUGUAUCACAGUGUUAUUAUUCUAAAAACGUUUUAAUCAUCCAAUUUUGGUUCCUGAAGAACUAGAACUGUAAGAUCGAGAGGUCUCCAUUCCAUUCUCCAGUCAAAGAAAUUUUAAUCGGUCUCGUUCAGAAUUGGGGUUUCGCUGUUGAUUUCUUAGCUUCAGUACACCAUUGUAAAAACUUUCAAAGCUUUCCAUCGGCAUUUGGCGACGAUCCAUAAUUUGUUUUUGUAACUGGAACUCGUUCUCAAAUCUUCUGAACUGGGUAAGGAAUGCUCCCACCAACUCAUCGCAGGACUGUAUUGGCCUUAACUUACGUAGGUUCCAAUACCAGUCCAGCGGAUGGCCUUCUAGCAGAUGAUGAAAACCUCGUAGGACGUCAUUGAACGCGCAGUUGUAGUCCUGUCUUAGAACGUCUACUCGAAAAAUGAAAUCUUCAGCACUCAUGGACUUCGAGGUUCCGUCGAACUUAAUGCCCCAUUUGGACAAAUCCACCUUACUUUGAACGGCGAAUGCGCCGUCAGUAGGCCAACUUGGAGCUUGUGAGGAUUGAAUUGGUGCUGAAAAAACUGGAUUCGCAUUUGGUGGUUGCUGCUCUACAGGCUGAUGGUUAAACACUGCAUUUGGCUGCCGAUAUUCGCGGCUCCGUUGGUUGAAGGGCCGAUAUCGGCGGAUUAGCUGGAGCAGCAGCAUUGCCGAAUUCCUGUUGCAAUUCGGUUCGCAACUGCCGUAUUUGUCCUUGCAAUUCCUCCCGCACAAAAGUAAACAUAUCGCCUCCUGUGGUGCCGAUGUUAACAGGUUGAGGAGCUGUCGGCGGGACAUUUGCUCGGAACUCUUGUUGCACAUUCCUGGCGGUGAUACUGCUGUAGUCAGGCGAUGUAAUCGUGCUGUUGGAGAUGGCAGACUCAUUUAAAAACCCAGAACGUUCAUGGGCCAUAGACGAUGUCGAUGCAGAGGUAGUAGUUGUCGUAGCUGUGUUGGCAAUCGUAUACGUCGGCUGCGCCGUGAGAACUACAGUUCCUGCAGUCGUGCGUGUAAUUUUCUCCAUAUUGGAAAUAUUAUUAUGCUCAGUUUGUACACGAGUCCUAGCCGAGCGAGUUAAGACCAUUCCUAAUGAAUAGAAAUCUAGUUGGCGGAAUGACCCCACAAUAAAAACUCAACCAAAAUAACAAAAUAUAAUAAAAUAUCCAAUUGAAGAUUUGUAUAUAUAACAGACCGCUAGUAAAAAAAAACUACUUAUCUCUAUGAUAAAUAUUAGUAAAAUACUAGAAGAAAUUCCUCCUCUUUCCCAAAGGAAAACUAAAAAAAUCAAUUCUAAAGAAAGGAAGUAAAGAUUCAAAAACUAAAUCUAAAACGUUCGUAACGACAAAGCUAAAACGUUCUACAAAAAAACUCAAAAUCCAAAUCCAAAAGAACCAAAGAUAAAUCUUGAAAUCUCAAAUUAAAUAGAAUCUUACUAUCGGCGAUGCAGACAUUAAAUGAAAUUUAAAUGGGCAAAAAAAACAUGGCAUGAGUUUCCAACAGCUCCAGAUUAGAGUGCAGCUAGAAUUUUGGUUGGCUAUCCUACAACUUCUAGGACUACUCUAACCACUUUACUGAGGACCAAAACAUACGUUUUUUCUUUUUUUGCAAACAAAUACCAUUAGCAUUAUUAUUGAGAAAGGGGCUGGCCUUAGCUAUUCUUUCUUCACAACUUGAGCAUUCCCAGAUUUGCUAUGGAAAGCUAUUCUGAGAGCCUCAAAUUGUUUGGAAAGGAUAUUGUUCACACAACACGUCGCAACGCGAACUAGACUAAAAUUGUCCUUUUGUCCGGGACUUACGUAGGUGUGUACAAUAUUGACCAUGCACAAUUAUAGCUUCCCAUCUAUUGAAAUGGAGAAAAGUAAAAACUAAAUUUACUAUUUCGUCCGUCGACGUCGCAAAAAUUAGGGACUCUAGGUAUGACCUAACAGGACUUACGUUGACAUGACUAAAUAGGAUUAGAAAACUGACUAAUAAUCAGGCUAUGGACCUACUCGGGCCCCACGUUGGGCGCCAUUUAUGUAGUGUAGUGGUUGUGCAAAACAAAAGAAACUAGUGUUGCCAGAGUGGUAGUGGCGCUGGUAUGCUCGCGUUCGCCGGGCUUGGAGCUCGCCGGAUGAGGGUGGUUCUUGCUACCACUCUAGACUUCUACACAUACACACACACACACAUAAAAACCAUACCAGCUAAAAGAAAAAAAACGAAAUAAAAUAUAAAGGGGCACCGAGUAGGUUUCUCUCUGUCUACCUGAUGAAAUGUUCCUACGACCUAUAACGGCUGGCAGAUGUUGUGCCAGGAUAAACCCUCCCACUCGGGAUUGGAUAACCCCGCCAUGACAUCCUAAUAUUAGGGAUGUCCCAAAUUUUACCCUGCAAACUUUCCUUUCCCUACUUACCGCCGCUUAUAUUGUUUAACAGAUCAUUUUAAUUGAUUAAGACUUUUAAAAAUUUCAUUUAAACAUUAUAAAUGUGGGAUUUUAUUAUCGAAAUUACUCUCAAACAAGCUUUAACAAUACUAACUAAAUUUAGUUUUAGGUUUGGA
This is a long non-coding RNA of Lucilia cuprina (Australian sheep blowfly), 3413 nucleotides long. RefSeq lists it as uncharacterized. The record is from RefSeq and is a predicted model, not a curated record. The transcript is spliced from 5 exons. Lineage: Eukaryota; Metazoa; Arthropoda; Insecta; Diptera; Calliphoridae.